Non-coding RNA from Chlorocebus sabaeus (green monkey), 1912 nucleotides. NCBI's taxonomy places the organism in Eukaryota, Metazoa, Chordata, Mammalia, Primates, Cercopithecidae. The record is from RefSeq and is a predicted model, not a curated record.
UGUGUAUAGUCAACAGUUAUUCAUCUGGCGUUCUAUCAAACAGAGUUUUCUAUAAUAUGGUAUCCGUGACUGUUUCCAAUACAAUAAAAAUGCUGUAAAAUCUUGAAAUGCUUUUCAAAAGAAUACUUUAUAGAAUAGCAUGUACAGCUGUAGUGUUGAGCUUAUUUUGCUGUACUUUAUUAAUCUUUUCCAAAACAUGUAAAUAAUGAAGUCUGCUGCACACCACAUCUGGAUUUCAUGAUUAUUCUGUAAGACUUAUACAAUAGAUGGCCCUUCAUUUAGGGAAGUAGUACAUACACCAGAAUGUGCCUUUUCUUUUUAAGAUUUAAAACAAUGGAAAAAGCCACUGAAGUAUGUAUAGUAUCUGUGUGCCGAGAUACACAGGAAAGCGUGGAUCGUGUGGAUGGAAGGAACCGGGAUCAUCUCAUCCAGCUGAGUAAUAAGUACGUUUGGUGCAGUGCCACACAGGAGGCCACCAGCAGAGCCCAGAGUAGUAACUGGGUUUCUUCACUCUUAGCCUCUCAAGUGAUGAGACCAAGGCAUGAUCUUAUCUCUUGAUUGUGGCCACCAGUAAAGAAAAGCAUAUCUCUAAUCUCAGAAGCACAAGGAGUUCAUACAGGAAACCAAGAUUAGAACAUCAUGCUAUCAUCUUUCAAAAUUACUAUGCAGGAUCGGUGGAACACUGGACACUGACGGAGUGGGCCCUGCAUCCUUCACUGCUUCCUCAUGGAGGGAUCUCCAGGAAGGGGGCCCCCUUUGCCUGUCUCCUCCCUUUGUGGCGAAUAUGGGUGGGGGAUGGAUCUGGGCAUGCUCAGAUCAGCCCCUCCCUUGCUCUUCUGUCUUUGGAUCUUGCUCGCAAUCAGAGGGCUUUUUCUUCCUGUUUUUUGGAGGGUGGGAUCUGCGUGGAGCUGUUCAAUGCUGCCUGUGACUGGGUGUUAGUAUGCUUAGCUCACGGUGAAGAAUAAGACAGCUCAUGAGGCCCAGCAGUACAUCCCCUUUCUCCUCUGAGUUUUCCCCAGUACAAAUCUGGUGCUUGGAUCUCUUUCUGACUCCUCAGUUUAUCUGUCAAAUGGUUCCAAACUUGAGUAGGGAGAGAGGAUCAUCCCCUGUCAAAUGUACACUAUUCAUGCACUGUAAUGGCGUAAAAGAACCCUAGACACGUGGGCUCCCUUGCUAACAAGUGCACCUUCAAAGCAAUAGUCAUUAUUUAGCAUUUAUCGGAAGAGGCUGGCCCCAGCUCUGGUGAAGGGCAGAGAAGGUGUGGGUGGCCUCACACGUUCUCAAUGUCACAAAAUGAUAGCAUUAAACAGACCCACUCCCUCAUGGAAGGCGAUGUGACGACCUUCUAUUGAUAUUGCAACAUGUGUCUCUGGCAGCAGGAUCUCAGUCCUUACGUAAGGGAUAUGGGAUGACUUCCUCCACUUCAUGUAUAUGCUCUCCCUAUGCAGAUCUGGCAGAUGCAAAUUUAUCCAUAUCUUUUCAUUACCAAUGAAGUUUUAGUAUCCACAUUCCGUCUGUGUAACCCUUUUUAUUUCAGCUGAUCUAAAUAAUUAGUUCAGAUUUACCCUGACAAAUGGCUUUUACCAUUUUUAGUUUCUUACCUUAUAACAAAACACUGCCAUCAAGUUUUCAUUAUGAAAAUGGCUGAUGGCAAGGGACCAUAUGAGAGAGUGCAGUCAACAACACAGUCUUUUUGCCCAACAGAAUUUGACAUUUUUGGCUUAGAGAAUUAAAGCACAAUGACUGUUCCUGAAAAUCAGCACAGUAGUUGUAAUAAAACUUUUUUCUUGGCUGGGCACAGUGUUGCAUGCCUGUAAUCUCAGCACUUUGGGAGGUUGAGGUGGGAGGAUCACUUGAGCCCAGAUCUUGAGACCAGCCUAGGUAACACAGUGAAACCUCGUCUAUGCUAAAA